RNAcentral lists this ribosomal RNA (727 nucleotides) under Sarcocystis moulei. Its description in RNAcentral is "SSU rRNA". It matches the Rfam family "Eukaryotic small subunit ribosomal RNA", at positions 170 to 816 of the family's 1831-position model. The record is from RNAcentral. Lineage: Eukaryota; Apicomplexa; Conoidasida; Eucoccidiorida; Sarcocystidae.
CAUGCGCAAAUACUGUAUAAUCAUAUUUAUGAUGGUUGUACAGUAGUGUUUAUUAGAUACAGAACCAACAGUGCGCCAUCACUUUUUAGUGGUGGUGUCAAAAGAAAAGGGUGAUUCAUAGUAACCGAACGGGUCGCAUAAUAUUAUAAUCAUUUCGGUGAUUGGCGAUAGAUCAUUCAAGUUUUCUGACCUAUCAGCUUUCGACGGUAGUGUAUUGGACUACCGUGGCAGUGACGGGUAACGGGGAAUUAGGGUUCGAUUCCGGAGAGGGAGCCUGAGAAACGGCUACCACAUCUAAGGAAGGCAGCAGGCGCGCAAAUUACCCAAUCCUGACUCAGGGAGGUAGUGACAAGAAAUAACAACACUGGAAAUUGUAUUUCUAGUGAUUGGAAUGAUGGGAAUCCAAACCCCUUUCAGAGUAACAAUUGGAGGGCAAGUCUGGUGCCAGCAGCCGCGGUAAUUCCAGCUCCAAUAGCGUAUAUUAAAGUUGUUGCAGUUAAAAAGCUCGUAGUUGGAUAUCUGCUGGAAGCAAUCAGUCCGCCCUUUUCGUAAGGGUGUGCACUUGAUGAAUUCUGGCAUGAUUUCAUCCCGAUAAUAUAUAAUGUAUUUUUAUAUUAGGUUGACUCCUAGUAUAAUAAUAUUAUUAUUAUGGGGAUGACAGUUACUUUGAGAAAAUUAGAGUGUUUGAAGCAGGCUUUUGUUGCCUUGAAUACUGCAGCAUGGAAUA